AAUCAACGCUGGCGGCGUGCCUCAGACAUGCAAGUCGAACGCGAAAGUUUCCUUCGGGGAACAAGUAGAGUGGCGCACGGGUGAGUAACACGUAGGUAAUCUACCUUUGGAUGGGGAAUAACAACCGGAAACGGUUGCUAAUACCGCAUAAUGCAGCGGCACCUAAUGGUGACAGUUGUUAAAGCGGGGGAGUCGAAAGACCUCGCGUCUGAAGAGGAGCCUGCGGCGGA
This 230-nucleotide ribosomal RNA is filed under the name uncultured bacterium. Its description in RNAcentral is "partial 16S ribosomal RNA". It matches the Rfam family "Bacterial small subunit ribosomal RNA", at positions 32 to 240 of the family's 1533-position model. The record is from RNAcentral.